This 468-nucleotide ribosomal RNA is filed under the name uncultured bacterium. RNAcentral describes it as "partial 16S ribosomal RNA". It matches the Rfam family "Bacterial small subunit ribosomal RNA", at positions 28 to 507 of the family's 1533-position model. The record is from RNAcentral.
GACGAACGCUGGCGGCGUGCUUAACACAUGCAAGUCGAACGGAAAGGCCCUGCUUUUGUGGGGUGCUCGAGUGGCGAACGGGUGAGUAACACGUGAGUAACCUGCCCUUGACUUUGGGAUAACUUCAGGAAACUGGGGCUAAUACCGGAUAGGAGCUCCUGCUGCAUGGUGGGGGUUGGAAAGUUUCGGCGGUUGGGGGUGGACUCGCGGCUUAUCAGCUUGUUGGUGGGGUAGUGGCUUACCAAGGCUUUGACGGGUAGCCGGCCUGAGAGGGUGACCGGCCACAUUGGGACUGAGAUACGGCCCAGAAUCCUACGGGAGGCAGCAGUGGGGAAUAUUGCACAAUGGGCGGAAGCCUGAUGCAGAAACGCCGCGUGCGGGAUGACGGCCUUCGGGUUGUAAACCGCUUCCGCCUGUGACGAAGCGUGAGUGACGGUAAUGGGUAAAGAAGCACCGGCUAACUACGUG